Molecule: long non-coding RNA, 797 nt
Organism: Galleria mellonella (greater wax moth)
Lineage: Eukaryota; Metazoa; Arthropoda; Insecta; Lepidoptera; Pyralidae
Exons: 3
Source: RefSeq, a predicted model, not a curated record
AGUCCUCAAGAAUGGCAACGCAUGGGGAGUAUCAUGGGCGAAACAGUGUACUCUGUUAUGUCCAUGGUACUGCUCAUGUUUAUAGGUGACAGUUACCACUUUCCAUUAGGUGGGUCGUCAGCUUGUUUGCCAUUACAAGUUGCAUAAAAAAAGGUUUAAUAUAAUAGUAAAUGCAGAGUGGCUAAAUUCAUAAUACGAUCUAACAGGACACAGGCUUGUAAGGCAGACAUUACUCAAGAUGGGAAUAGCUUUAAGCACACUGCACACAUAAUAUAGAGGAUCUGCAUUGUGAAAUUUGACCCAAUGGAAUAUUAUAUGUGAAACUAUGACUGCGCAAGCAUGCGUAUCCUUGUUGUAGCUUAUCUGAAAUUUACUGGUGCAGUUAAUCCUUACCAAUAGUAUAAACUAGCUGUAUCCCGCGACUCCGCCCGCAUCAUUCAGUAAACCAAAUUCAUCAAUUGCGACUACUUUGUGAGCUCAGUGGUGUAACAUAGGUGUUUCUUGAAGAGUUAAACAUUAUAUUUCGGAGAGAACAUUCAGAAAAAAGCAACUCUAAUGGAUCCACCUCAGUGCCAUUGUACCUCUAUUCGGCUACCAUGUCCGCAACACACGUAAUUGCAUUCAGCCGUUUCUAAUUACUGAAGUUUGCUUCGCUUGUUUUUCCUACGCUGUCUUUAUUGAGUUUCCCGAUUUCGAAGUGUCGCUUGAAUUGCGGCGUUUUGUUUUUAUAAAAGGAUGGGCAUUUUGUUCUUUAGUCGAUUGCCAAUUUCACUUGUUUUAAUUAUUACGAGUACAGU